CUUAACCCAGAUAGCCGUCCCAUGGAGUCAAUCGUAUACCGAAAGAACAAUGUGAAAGACUUUGACUCCAUGGCGAUUGAACUGUGUGCAUUGGGUCUGAGCGCUAUUCAGUAAUAAUGUUGUUGUAGAAUUAUUAGGCCUCUAUAAAUCUGUAAGGCCCCUUUAAAUCCUCUUGCUAUACCUCUAAGAGGCCCCAUAGUUUUACAAGAAAG
Pelobates cultripes (western spadefoot toad) is the source of this 212-nucleotide non-coding RNA. The record is from the annotation of a GenBank genome assembly. NCBI's taxonomy places the organism in Eukaryota, Metazoa, Chordata, Amphibia, Anura, Pelobatidae.